UCAUUCAAUAUUGCCGGUUUGAACGAAAUUGAACAGUUCACCGGAAGCAUUGUAUGAUC
This 59-nucleotide microRNA precursor is filed under the name Pristionchus pacificus. RNAcentral's name for it is "microRNA ppc-mir-2235a precursor (ppc-mir-2235a-10)". It matches the Rfam family "mir-2235 microRNA precursor family", at positions 17 to 75 of the family's 87-position model. The record is from miRBase by way of RNAcentral. Lineage: Eukaryota; Metazoa; Nematoda; Chromadorea; Rhabditida; Neodiplogasteridae.